This 806-nucleotide ribosomal RNA is filed under the name uncultured Thiobacillus sp. RNAcentral's name for it is "bacterial SSU rRNA". It matches the Rfam family "Bacterial small subunit ribosomal RNA", at positions 28 to 827 of the family's 1533-position model. The record is from RNAcentral. Lineage: Bacteria; Pseudomonadati; Pseudomonadota; Betaproteobacteria; Nitrosomonadales; Thiobacillaceae.
AUUGAACGCUGGCGGAAUGCUUUACACAUGCAAGUCGAACGGCAGCACGGGAGCUUGCUCCUGGUGGCGAGUGGCGAACGGGUGAGUAAUGCGUCGGAACGUACCGAGUAAUGGGGGAUAACGCAGCGAAAGCUGUGCUAAUACCGCAUACGCCCUGAGGGGGAAAGUGGGGGAUCGCAAGACCUCACGUUAUUCGAGCGGCCGACGUCUGAUUAGCUAGUUGGUGGGGUAAUGGCCUACGAAGGCGAUGAUCAGUAGCGGGUCUGAGAGGAUGAUCCGCCACACUGGAACUGAGACACGGUCCAGACUCCUACGGGAGGCAGCAGUGGCGAAUUUUGGACAAUGGGGGCAACCCUGAUCCAGCCAUUCCGCGUGAGUGAAGAAGGCCUUCGGGUUGUAAAGCUCUUUCAGCUGGAACGAAACGGUACGCUCUAACAUAGCGUGCUAAUGACGGUACCGGCAGAAGAAGCACCGGCUAACUACGUGCCAGCAGCCGCGGUAAUACGUAGGGUGCGAGCGUUAAUCGGAAUUACUGGGCGUAAAGCGUGCGCAGGCGGAUUGUUAAGCAAGAUGUGAAAUCCCCGGGCUUAACCUGGGAAUGGCAUUUUGAACUGGCAGUCUAGAGUGCGUCAGAGGGGGGUGGAAUUCCACGUGUAGCAGUGCAAUGCGUAGAGAUGUGGAGGAACACCAAUGGCGAAGGCAGCCCCCUGGGAUGACACUGACGCUCAUGUACGAAAGCGUGGGUAGCAAACAGGAUUAGAUACCCUGGUAGUCCACGCCCUAAACGAUGUCAACUGGUUGUUGGG